Molecule: long non-coding RNA, 245 nt
Filed under: Brachypodium distachyon (stiff brome)
Lineage: Eukaryota; Viridiplantae; Streptophyta; Magnoliopsida; Poales; Poaceae
Description: long non-coding RNA (BDIS_LNC002761)
Source: RNAcentral
ACCCGGAAGCCCGACGGGCUUGGACCGUCUGCGCCGGCCUGACCUGAUUAGACAUUUUCUUUUUUUUCAUAUAAUACAAUCCAUCCGGAAUAAAAAUGCUAUAUUGCUUGACACAAGACUCAAACCGGAGACCUCCCCUUCAUUCCUCAACUCUCUAUCGACUGUACCAAGUCAGUUCUUGUGCCAAAUUACGGCGCAUAAGCUUUUUGACCCAAUUUCUGGCUGCCAAGGGACAAAAAAGGCCA